Molecule: ribosomal RNA, 630 nt
Filed under: Nostoc sp. 'Peltigera praetextata cyanobiont'
Lineage: Bacteria; Bacillati; Cyanobacteriota; Cyanophyceae; Nostocales; Nostocaceae
Description: bacterial SSU rRNA
Rfam family: Bacterial small subunit ribosomal RNA
Source: RNAcentral
GUAACGCGUGAGAAUCUGCCUUCAGGUCUGGGACAACCACUGGAAACGGUGGCUAAUACCGGAUGUGCCGAGAGGUGAAAGGUUAACUGCCUGAAGAUGAGCUCGCGUCUGAUUAGCUAGUAGGUAGUGUAAAGGACUACCUAGGCGACGAUCAGUAGCUGGUCUGAGAGGACGAUCAGCCACACUGGGACUGAGACACGGCCCAGACUCCUACGGGAGGCAGCAGUGGGGAAUUUUCCGCAAUGGGCGAAAGCCUGACGGAGCAAUACCGCGUGAGGGAGGAAGGCUCUUGGGUCGUAAACCUCUUUUCUCAGGGAAGAACACAAUGACGGUACCUGAGGAAUAAGCAUCGGCUAACUCCGUGCCAGCAGCCGCGGUAAUACGGAGGAUGCAAGCGUUAUCCGGAAUGAUUGGGCGUAAAGCGUCCGCAGGUGGCUAUGUAAGUCUGCUGUUAAAGAGUCUAGCUCAACUAGAUAAGAGCAGUGGAAACUACAUGGCUAGAGUGCGUUCGGGGCAGAGGGAAUUCCUGGUGUAGCGGUGAAAUGCGUAGAGAUCAGGAAGAACACCGGUGGCGAAGGCGCUCUGCUAGGCCGCAACUGACACUGAGGGACGAAAGCUAGGGGAGCGAAU